This 429-nucleotide ribosomal RNA is filed under the name Gemmatimonadota bacterium. RNAcentral describes it as "Gemmatimonadetes bacterium partial 16S ribosomal RNA". It matches the Rfam family "Bacterial small subunit ribosomal RNA", at positions 355 to 776 of the family's 1533-position model. The record is from RNAcentral. Lineage: Bacteria; Pseudomonadati; Gemmatimonadota.
UAGGGAAUCUUCGGCAAUGGACGAAAGUCUGACCGAGCAACGCCGCGUGAGUGAAGAAGGUUUUCGGAUCGUAAAACUCUGUUGUUAGAGAAGAACAAGGACGUUAGUAACUGAACGUCCCCUGACGGUAUCUAACCAGAAAGCCACGGCUAACUACGUGCCAGCAGCCGCGGUAAUACGUAGGUGGCAAGCGUUGUCCGGAUUUAUUGGGCGUAAAGCGAGCGCAGGCGGUUUCUUAAGUCUGAUGUGAAAGCCCCCGGCUCAACCGGGGAGGGUCAUUGGAAACUAGGAGACUUGAGUGCAGAAGAGGAGAGUGGAAUUCCAUGUGUAGCGGUGAAAUGCGUAGAUAUAUGGAGGAAAACCAGUGGCGAAGGCGGCUCUCUGGUCUGUAACUAACGCUGAGGCUCGAAAGCGUGGGGAGCAAACAGG